Long non-coding RNA from Oncorhynchus tshawytscha (Chinook salmon), 947 nucleotides. The record is from Ensembl. Lineage: Eukaryota; Metazoa; Chordata; Actinopteri; Salmoniformes; Salmonidae.
UAAUUUCUCAAAUUUAAUAAUGGGCAGUUUUUUUUAACUUACAUAUCCUAUAUGGAAAUAACAGACAUGAGCAUGUUUCAUUUAGUUAGUUCUACCACCUCCACAUUAAUUUUAAACCGGGUUAAAUUUAAGGUUGUAGUAAAGUUCCGCGUCAGUCCACAGGGGGCGCUGUGUCACUGUCAGAAGAUACAGUAGGAUCCCUUAUUGAUGUCACUUGUUAAAUCCACUUCAAUCAGUGUAGAUGAAAGGGAGGAGACAGGUUAAAGGUUAACCUGGUUAUAUCAAAAGAUUUAAGUGCCUUUGAACAGGUUAUGGUAGUAGGUGCCAGGUUAUGGUAGUAGGUGCCAGGUUAUGGUAGGAGGUGCCAGGUUAUGGUAGGAGGUGCCAGGUUAUGGUAGGAGGUGCCAGGUUAUGGUAGGAGGUGCCAGGUUAUGGUAGGAGGUGCCAGGCACACUGGAUUGAGUGUGUCAACAACUGCAAUGUUGCUGGGUUAUUCACACUCAACAGGCUCCCAUGUGUAUCAAGAAUGGUCCACCACCCAAAGGACAUCCAGCCAACUUGACACAACUGUGGGGUGGGAUGGACGCAAUAUUAGGAAGGUGUUCUUAUUGUUUGGUAUACUUAUGUUACACAUCAUACAGGCCUACAUUAUGUUACACAUCAUACAGGCCUACAUUAUGUUACACAUCAUACAGGCCAACAUUAUGUCACACAUCAUACAGGCCUACAUUGUUACACAUCAUACAGGCCUACAGUAUGUUACACAUCAUACAGGCCUACAUUAUGUUACACAUCAUACAGGCCUACAUUAUGUUACACAUCAUACAGGCCUACAUUAUGUUACACAUCAUACAGGCCAACAUUAUGUCACACAUCAUACAGGCCUACAUUAUGUUACACAUCAUACAGGCCUACAUUAUGUUACACAUCAUACAGGCCUACAUUAU